RNAcentral lists this ribosomal RNA (572 nucleotides) under Bipolaris sp. 4805. RNAcentral describes it as "eukaryotic LSU rRNA". The stretch from base 194 to 347 matches the Rfam family "5.8S ribosomal RNA". Lineage: Eukaryota; Fungi; Ascomycota; Dothideomycetes; Pleosporales; Pleosporaceae. The record is from RNAcentral.
AAGGCAUCCACUUGGACGCCUCCCUAGUAAUGUGUUAUUUUAUGCUUCCGGCAAGCGCCGACGACUAUUUAUUACCCUUGUCUUUUGCGCACUUGUUGUUUCCUGGGCGGGUUCGCUCGCCACCAGGACCACAAUAUAAACCUUUUUUAUGCAGUUGCAAUCAGCGUCAGUAUAACAAAUGUAAAUCAUUUACAACUUUCAACAACGGAUCUCUUGGUUCUGGCAUCGAUGAAGAACGCAGCGAAAUGCGAUACGUAGUGUGAAUUGCAGAAUUCAGUGAAUCAUCGAAUCUUUGAACGCACAUUGCGCCCUUUGGUAUUCCAAAGGGCAUGCCUGUUCGAGCGUCAUUUGUACCCUCAAGCUUUGCUUGGUGUUGGGCGUUUUUGUCUUUGGCCCGCCAAAGACUCGCCUUAAAAUGAUUGGCAGCCGGCCUACUGGUUUCGCAGCGCAGCACAUUUUUGCGCUUGCAAUCAGCAAAAGAGGACGGCAAUCCAUCAAGACUCCUUCUCACGUUUGACCUCGGAUCAGGUAGGGAUACCCGCUGAACUUAAGCAUAUCAAUAAGCGGAGGAA